UAUCGUUUUUAGUUCAUACAGUGGACUAUACAUAUAAUGGUUUUCAAAACUGCCGUGAAAAUUCUGCCAGCUCAGAUGAAGCCAUACAAUAUUGGAGUGAAUUAUGUAACUUAUAAUUGUUUAAAAAGAAUUUAACAAGUAUGGCACAUAAAAUAACAAACAUUAAUUUUGAGGAAUGUUGGACAUUAGUACAAGGAUCUGUAAAGAAAAUCAUAACAAUGGACAAUAUAUUAAGAGACGCAUUGAACAAAUGUUUCGAUAUUUUUGAUGAUCCACACAGUCAGAAACUUUAUAAUUCAAAAAAGUUUUUACAAGAGGAACGGGUACUUCAACUAUUAAGUAUUUUUCCAACCGAAAAUAUUGCAAAUCUGUUGGAAAAUUAUCAUGGAAAUUGGCAAAAGUAUUCCAAAAGUAGAAUAAACCUAACCUAACCACUAAGUAUGUUUUUUUAAGAUUAGAGAUAUGGUAUGUAUGGAAAGCGUAAUAUGAUUUUAGUUUGAAAGACAGUCUGCCCAAAUUAUUAAUUGAUGAGAUUAACAAACUACAACGUAACAUAUCAAUAACCACAAUACCACAACUCCGGAUAUCAUUGUUGCUGUUAUUAACACAUUUUUAGAAGUACAGGCAUCCAACGAUUGUCCAUUUGAAUCAUAACAUUUAUUUUGAGGAACCCGUGAUAUUUCCUGAGAUAGCAUCUAUCAAAGACAGUUGGCCCAACAAUUAAUACUAAACCGUUCCAUAGACCUAGAAGAAGGAAUGAUAAAGAAUUUAAAAAAAGAUUGUGGUUACGAGUUUACAAGUAACUUACAUCAAAUGUUAUUUUAUAUCAAAGUAUUUGAUGAACUAUAUUCACAAUUUAUUAGUGAACUGCUGUUGAUGAUUUAAAUAUCUCUUUUUCUGAGUACGUAUUGCAAGCUACAACUUGGCCUUCAGGAUUAACAGAUAUAUCAUCAUUUGUUCUUCCUGAACCACCGAAACUUCUUGCA
This is a long non-coding RNA of Acyrthosiphon pisum (pea aphid), 986 nucleotides long. RefSeq lists it as uncharacterized. The record is from RefSeq and is a predicted model, not a curated record. The transcript has 5 exons. NCBI's taxonomy places the organism in Eukaryota, Metazoa, Arthropoda, Insecta, Hemiptera, Aphididae.